AGAGUUUGAUCCUGGCUCAGAUUGAACGCUGGCGGCAUGCCUUACACAUGCAAGUCGAACGGCAGCACGGGAGCAAUCCUGGUGGCGAGUGGCGAACGGGUGAGUAAUGUAUCGGAACGUACCUUACAGUGGGGGAUAACGUAGCGAAAGUUACGCUAAUACCGCAUAUUCUCUGAGGAGGAAAGCAGGGGACCUUAGGGCCUUGCGCUGUUAGAGCGGCCGAUAUCAGAUUAGCUAGUUGGUGGGGUAAAAGCUCACCAAGGCGACGAUCUGUAGCGGGUCUGAGAGGAUGAUCCGCCACACUGGAACUGAGACACGGUCCAGACUCCUACGGGAG
Molecule: ribosomal RNA, 337 nt
Filed under: uncultured bacterium
Lineage: Bacteria
Description: bacterial SSU rRNA
Rfam family: Bacterial small subunit ribosomal RNA
Source: RNAcentral